RNAcentral lists this ribosomal RNA (374 nucleotides) under uncultured organism. RNAcentral describes it as "partial 16S ribosomal RNA". It matches the Rfam family "Bacterial small subunit ribosomal RNA", at positions 527 to 896 of the family's 1533-position model. The record is from RNAcentral.
GUAGGUGGCAAGCGUUGUCCGGAAUUAUUGGGCGUAAAGCGCGCGCAGGCGGUCCUUUAAGUCUGAUGUGAAAGCCCACGGCUCAACCGUGGAGGGUCAUUGGAAACUGGGGGACUUGAGUACAGAAGAGGAAAGCGGAAUUCCAAGUGUAGCGGUGAAAUGCGUAGAGAUUUGGAGGAACACCAGUGGCGAAGGCGGCUUUCUGGUCUGUAACUGACGCUGAGGCGCGAAAGCGUGGGGAGCAAACAGGAUUAGAUACCCUGGUAGUCCACGCCGUAAACGAUGAGUGCUAAGUGUUAGGGGGUUUCCCGCCCCCCUUAGUGCUGCAGCUAACGCACUAAGCACUCCGCCUGGGGAGUACGGCCGCAAGGCUG